Molecule: ribosomal RNA, 324 nt
Filed under: Escherichia coli
Lineage: Bacteria; Pseudomonadati; Pseudomonadota; Gammaproteobacteria; Enterobacterales; Enterobacteriaceae
Description: partial 23S ribosomal RNA
Rfam family: Bacterial large subunit ribosomal RNA
Source: RNAcentral
ACUGUUUCGGCAAGGGGGUCAUCCCGACUUACCAACCCGAUGCAAACUGCGAAUACCGGAGAAUGUUAUCACGGGAGACACACGGCGGGUGCUAACGUCCGUCGUGAAGAGGGAAACAACCCAGACCGCCAGCUAAGGUCCCAAAGUCAUGGUUAAGUGGGAAACGAUGUGGGAAGGCCCAGACAGCCAGGAUGUUGGCUUAGAAGCAGCCAUCAUUUAAAGAAAGCGUAAUAGCUCACUGGUCGAGUCGGCCUGCGCGGAAGAUGUAACGGGGCUAAACCAUGCACCGAAGCUGCGGCAGCGACGCUGAUGCGUUGUUGGGUA